GAUGAACGCUAGCGGCAGGCUUAACACAUGCAAGUCGAGGGGUAACAGGGUGCUUGCACCGCUGACGACCGGCGCACGGGUGCGUAACGCGUAUAGAACCUACCUUUUACAGGAGAAUACCCCAGAGAAAUUUGGAAUAAUGCUCCAUAGUAUUAUUGAAUGGCAUCAUUUGAUAAUUAAACAUUUAUGGGUAAAAGAUGGCUAUGCGUUCUAUUAGCUAGAUGGUAAGGUAACGGCUUACCAUGGCAACGAUAGAUAGGGGUCCUGAGAGGGAGAUCCCCCACACUGGUACUGAGACACGGACCAGACUCCUACGGGAGGCAGCAGUGAGGAAUAUUGGACAAUGGAGGCAACUCUGAUCCAGCCAUGCCGCGUGCAGGAAGACGGUCCUAUGGAUUGUAAACUGCUUUUAUACAGGAAGAAACACUCCCUCGUGAGGGAGCUUGACGGUACUGUAUGAAUAAGCACCGGCUAACUCCGUGCCAGCAGCCGCGGUAAUACGGAGGGUGCAAGCGUUAUCCGGAAUCAUUGGGUUUAAAGGGUCCGUAGGCGGGCUAAUAAGUCAGGGGUGAAAUCCAACAGCUUAACUGUUGAAUUGCCUUUGAUACUGUUAGUCUUGAGUUAUAUGGAAGUAGAUAGAAUGUGUAGUGUAGCGGUGAAAUGCUUAGAGAUUACACAGAAUACCGAUUGCGAAGGCA
RNAcentral lists this ribosomal RNA (698 nucleotides) under Lutibacter sp. RNAcentral describes it as "bacterial SSU rRNA". It matches the Rfam family "Bacterial small subunit ribosomal RNA", at positions 28 to 723 of the family's 1533-position model. The record is from RNAcentral. Lineage: Bacteria; Pseudomonadati; Bacteroidota; Flavobacteriia; Flavobacteriales; Flavobacteriaceae.